CUAAGAAUAUUCCGCAAUGGACGAAAGUCUGACGGAGCGACGCCGCGUGGAUGAUGAAGGCCGAAAGGUUGUAAAGUCCUUUUGCCGGGAAGAAUAAGCGUGGGAGGGAAUGCAGGC
This 117-nucleotide ribosomal RNA is filed under the name uncultured bacterium. RNAcentral describes it as "partial 16S ribosomal RNA". It matches the Rfam family "Bacterial small subunit ribosomal RNA", at positions 355 to 473 of the family's 1533-position model. The record is from RNAcentral.